UUGAUGAAUGAUCGAAAUAAAUUUAUGCAUAUGUUUAUCAUAAGUGAUGAAAAUGACCGAUGAAGAAUAAUAUGUUCUUUCAAGACAAUGACUAUUGUGGUUCUAAAAUAUCGAGAAAAAUAUUUAAGAUCUUAAAGAAAUUAUCAAACAUCUUAAUUACUUGUCAUCGUGUGAAAAACCUUCUUACCUGGUUAGAUAAACAUGUCCCAAUUUAACUCUUCAAUUUUUCAAUAGGUGUUCAUGACCUAUUAUGUUCACAAUCAACCAAAUGAUAUAUAUUUUAUUUUUAUUGUAUAAUAUAUAUUAUCUGAUCAAUCUAAUUUUAUGAUUAUUUUAUAUAUUUUGUCUGAUAAUCUCUAUAAAUAGACAUUGAUUGAAUUCAUAUUUGACGACAGUAUACUCUUAGUUGAACAAUGAUGAAAACACAUCAUUUUAUCUUGAUAUUUUUUUGAGUGCAGAAAUCAUUAUCUAUGUUGUUGGAAUUAAAUCAUCCAGAGAUGGAAAUCAAUUUGGUGCAGCAAAAGAAUCCAAAACAAAAAUUUGGAUAAAUGGUUGGGAAGACUGGGAAGUUGGGGAAGCGGAGGAGAUAAAGAAAGUGGAAAUGGAGCAUGAGAACAAGCAGAAGGUGAACACAAUGGAGGUGUAAGAGUAAAGGGAAGUGGAGAAGACAACUAAAGUGGAAGAGAAAAUGGAAGUGCGAAUGUAAAUGGAAGUGGAUUCAAUAGUGAAAAUUGAUUUACUUGGGGAUGCUGGGGAGGUUUCUUUUCCCACAAAAAUGGUACAUUAUGAAGUGUGUAUUUGAAACCGCUUUUCUUGAUCAAAUUUUUGCGAAAUGAUAAGUUUUAAUAUUGUUUGGAGCCGCUUUUCUUGAUCAAAUUUCCGUGGAACUAGGUGUUUUUUUACUGCAAAAAGUGAAGCUUCAAUAUGUAGUAUCUAUCGAAAUGAGCAUAUCCGCGGCGUAAAUUGUGAAGUCAUUGUCAAACCGAACAUAAACUCUUAGUCAUGUUUCAACAAAUACUGAGAGAACAUGGUUGAUUAUAAAUAACAAUAAUAUUGAGAGAAUGAUUUAUCCAACGAUAUUUUCAUUAAGUGUGGGUGUAAAAACAAAAAAUAAUUUACUACAUUGUAAAGUGUGAACUUAAAACUGCUUUACUUGAUCAAAUUUUUACGAAAUGAGAAGCUUUAAUACCCAGCUUCUACAGAAAGGAGAAAAUUCAAUGUGGAUAUAGUAAAAUGUCACCACUAAAUAAAUCAAAUGUAUGAUCUCACUCAUAUUUCGUUAAAUACUAAGAUAACAAAGUUGCUUGUAAUUAUAUUAAGUGUGGGUGUAAAAAAAUUACUCCAAUUUACAUUGUGUGUUUGGAGCUGUUUUUCUUGAAAACAAAAUCGCAAAAUCGUGCAUUCUUUCACCGCAAAAUGAGAAGCUUCAAUACCUAACUUUUACCCAAAUAAAAAAAUUUGCC
RNAcentral lists this long non-coding RNA (1463 nucleotides) under Medicago truncatula (barrel medic). Its description in RNAcentral is "lncRNA gene9325". The record is from RNAcentral. Lineage: Eukaryota; Viridiplantae; Streptophyta; Magnoliopsida; Fabales; Fabaceae.